AUGCAGUUUUUGGUAGGAGAAUACACAAUUGACAUGGUUUGCAUCAUCCACAGGAUGAUCCAGUCUUGUACUUACACAAUAGAGGUCAAGGUUUGUGGCAGUGAAUCAAAAAUCAAUGGAGAUUCAACUUUUAGUUGGCAGAUUAUUGAGGGUACUAGGACAAGUAUGAAGGAUUUGCUGGCUUGUAUUGCUGGAACUUCUUCUUUUGCUUUAUGCUCAGAGGAUAAUAUAAUUCUUGAGUAUAUUGAUUCCAUUAGUGGCAAAAAUAUCUCUGUGUCAAAUGAUGAAGAAUGCAUGAAAAUGUUUGACUGUUUUGAGAAGAAUAGGGGUGGCCAUUUGAUCAUCAACUAUUCUGAGAGAAGUGAUAAUGUUCAUGUUCCAUGUACUCCUUCGAACCAGACACCAUCUAUAGCACUACCUAGUCAACCAAGUAAUGUCAUGGAUGAAGCUAGUGUAUGCCUAACAGAUACAUAUCUUAACAAUCCCCAUGAAGAAUAUGAACAUGUUGGUGUAGAUGAGGAGGACCAAUACUCAAUUAGCAGUGUUGGUUCCGAUAGUGAUGAUGAGGUCGGAGAAAAAGAUAUACCAAAUACUGAUUAUGUUGAGGAUAGCAGCGAUGAUGAGGAAUGGGUUGCGGAAGAUGCUAGACCGGAUGCUAUUCCAGAAAUUGCCUAUGACAAAGAAAACCCGCCAAUGCAUGUUGGCGCAAAGUACCCCAACAUUGAAGAGCUUAGGUUGGCAAUUGCUACAUACGCUGUGAAGAAAGAGUUCGAAUUUAAGGUUGAAAAAAGUGAACCUACUCGAUUCAGGGCAGGAAAAGGGAUUGACACUGCAAUCGAACAGGUAUUUGGGUAUGCUGAACAUAGAGAAUGCAUGCGACACUUGGUUGUGAACUUCAAGAAAAAAUUCCAUGGUAAAGUUUUUGAUGAUCAUUUGUGGCCAGCUGCUUAUUCAUGGACUCCUCGAGGGUUUGACUAUCACAUGGCAGCCAUAGAGGAGAAAAAGGCUACUGCAAUAGCAUACUUAAACAAGUACCACGCCAGGCUAUGGUCAAGGAGCAAAUAUUCAACCUCCUCAAAAGUGGAUUAUGUUACAAAUAAUUUGGCUGAGUGUUUCAACAACUGGAUCCGCAAGCACAAAGGUUUAAUGUUGUUUCAGCUCAUGGACAAGAUAAGGAGAAAGAUUACGGUUAAGUUUGAGAAGAGGAGAAGGGUAGCUAGAAAAUUUCAAGGUCGGCGUAUACUUCCAAGUGUCAUGAAGGAGUUGAAUGACAUAAGCAGGGGGCUGGACAUUGAAUAUGAGAGAAUAGAUGACAUGGUUGCAGAAGUGAGUGAGAGUGUUGCGCUAGGUGGCAAGCGCCACGUCACUGAUCUAGCAAACAGGACAUGCACAUGCAGGGCAUUUCAAGUCUCCGGGAAGCCUUGCAAACAUGCAAUUAGCUUUAUUACUGGAAUUAGGGGGGUCACAAUAGAAGACUUCGUUGAUGAUUGUUACAGCGUUGCCAAGUUUGCUGCAGCUUAUGCUCCUAUUCUUCCUGGCCUAACCGACAUGUCUCAAUGGCCAAGUGUGAACAAAGAAUUCUUCUUGAACCCCCAAUCCUUAGGAGGGCCCCUGGGAGGCCAAAGGUACAGAGGCACAAAAGUGGUGCUGAAAAUAGCAAGGGAAAGGGAAAGAAAGGCCAGCACCAAUGUCCAAUUUGCAAAGCUUAUGGACAUAGAUGGCAAAGCUGCAAAGAUGCUGCUCCUGAAGCACUAG
This 1755-nucleotide ribosomal RNA is filed under the name Triticum aestivum (bread wheat). RNAcentral's name for it is "partial small subunit ribosomal RNA". The record is from RNAcentral. Lineage: Eukaryota; Viridiplantae; Streptophyta; Magnoliopsida; Poales; Poaceae.